CCUACGGGUGGCAGCAGUGAGGAAUAUUGGUCAAUGGACGAGAGCCUGAACCAGCCAAGUAGCGUGAGGGAUGACUGCCCUAUGGGUUGUAAACUUCUUUUAUAUGGGAAUAAAAUGUUCCACGUGUGGGAUUUUGUAUGUACCAUAUGAAUAAGGAUCGGCUAACUCCGUGCCAGCAGCCGCGGUAAUACGGAGGAUCCGAGCGUUAUCCGGAUUUAUUGGGUUUAAAGGGAGCGUAGGCGGAGUGUUAAGUCAGUUGUGAAAGUUGGCGGCUCAACCGGAACAUUGCAGUUGAAACUGGCAGUCUUGAGUACAGGAGAGGUAGGCGGAAUUCGUGGUGUAGCGGUGAAAUGCUUAGAUAUCACGAAGAACCCCGAUUGCGAAGGCAGUUCACUGGACUGCAACUGACACUGAGGCUCGAAGGUGCGGGUAUCAAACAGGAUUAGAUACCCUUGUAGUC
This 460-nucleotide ribosomal RNA is filed under the name uncultured bacterium. RNAcentral's name for it is "partial 16S ribosomal RNA". It matches the Rfam family "Bacterial small subunit ribosomal RNA", at positions 338 to 795 of the family's 1533-position model. The record is from RNAcentral.